Molecule: transfer RNA, 69 nt
Filed under: Notropis rubellus (rosyface shiner)
Lineage: Eukaryota; Metazoa; Chordata; Actinopteri; Cypriniformes; Leuciscidae
Also listed under: 7 other names
Description: tRNA-Ala
Rfam family: tRNA
About the family: Transfer RNA (tRNA) molecules are approximately 80 nucleotides in length.
Source: RNAcentral
AAGGCCUUAGUUUAACAAAGACAUUUGAUUUGCACUCAGAAGAUGCAAGAUAAACUCUUGUAGGUCUUA